RNAcentral lists this ribosomal RNA (775 nucleotides) under uncultured Neocallimastigales. RNAcentral describes it as "partial large subunit ribosomal RNA". It matches the Rfam family "Eukaryotic large subunit ribosomal RNA", at positions 20 to 621 of the family's 3401-position model. Lineage: Eukaryota; Fungi; Neocallimastigomycota; Neocallimastigomycetes; Neocallimastigales. The record is from RNAcentral.
UACUAGAGUAGCACUCGCAUAUCAAUAAGCGGAGGAAAAGAAACUAACAAGGAUUCCCCUAGUAACGGCGAGUGAAGCGGGAAGAGCUCAAAUUUGAAAUCUUAAAGGGUUUCCCUUUACGAAUUGUAGUUUAAGGAAGUGUUUUCUGUUGAGGUUUUGGUAAAAGUUCUUUGGAAUAGGACAUCAUAGAGGGUGAGAAUCCCGUAUUUGACCUUUACUUUCAACUUUGUGAUACACUUUCAAAGAGUCGGAUUGUUUGGGAAUGCAGUCCAAAAUGGGUGGUAAAUUUCAUCUAAAGCUAAAUAUUGGCGAGAGACCGAUAGCGAACAAGUACCGUGAGGGAAAGAUGAAAAGAACUUUGAAAAGAGAGUUAAACAGUACGUGAAAUUGUCAAAAGGGAAGCGUUUGACACCAGUGUUGUUUUUCUGAAAAUCAAUUAAAGAACUGUUUAUGCUAAGUUGUUUAGACUUUAUCAGCUAUCUGCUUAGUUUUGAGCUUUUCUUUAAUGCACUUUUCAGUUAACAAGUCAACAUCAAUUUCUUUUGCUUGUAAAAAAGCUUGAGGAAGGUGGCUUGAGAUUCGUCUUAAGUGUUUAUAGCCUCUUGCCUAUGCAGUCGGAGAGAUUGAGGUCUGCAGCGUAGAUCCUUCGGGGCUAAAUGCAUUUGUGCUAAGUUAUAGCAUUUUAUAGACAACUUGUUGACUAUGAUUUGUCUUGUAGCUUACUCGCUUAUGUUAUUUUACCUACGCUUAGGAUGUUGAACUCUAUCACACACAG